This 632-nucleotide long non-coding RNA is filed under the name Rattus norvegicus (Norway rat). Its description in RNAcentral is "long non-coding RNA NONRATT019656". The record is from RNAcentral. Lineage: Eukaryota; Metazoa; Chordata; Mammalia; Rodentia; Muridae.
AUUACAACCAGUAUGACUUGACUCCAAAAUAUUAAAUCCACAGGAUUAACAUUUAUAUUUAAAUUAAAAUGUCAGGUGUCAGCCUGUCAUACCAUUAGUGUGCGACAUGUUAUUUACGGAAACUGUCUUGAGUGAAGUAUAUCAUUGAUACAGAAGCAAAAGUAAAAUACUAGCAUCUUCCAUUUUCAGGGUUUUACUUGACUUGAAAAGUGAGAUGGCAAAAAGGUUCUUUUUCCGUAUUCCUGUAUUUCUGGGACAUCAAAAGUACAACACAAAAAGGUUUUAUGUGUUAAUCACAUACUCAGCCCAUCCUGAGUAUCUCCGUCUUUAUAGAUUACCGCUCAGACAGAGUGAAUGCAGGGGAACGAGUCCUUUAUUUGGCCUAGUCGGUGAAAAGGAGAGUUAUUUUAUUGUAUUAGAAUGGGCUUUACUUACUGCUCAGUGGUCGAAUACUUGUCUAGCAUAUGUGAGUUCUGUGUUUGAUUCCCCAGUUGGGUGGUGUGUGUGUACGUGUAUUUGACAUGAGAUACAGAGGAUAGGAGUAAUCCAUUCACUUUUCCUGUUUGUCUCCACUUGCUGUUGGCUUCGGUGAUAGCAAACCCCUUGUAAAUGCCAGGUGUUAAUACGUAGCC